GCCAAGAUUAAAUCUCAGGAUCUGCUCAGCAAGAAGAAGGAGGAGCUGUUGAAACAACUGGACAAUCUGAAGGUAGAACUGUCCCAGUUUAGUGUUGCCAAAGUGAUAGGCACCGCCUCCAAGCUCUCCAAGAUACAAGUAGUACCCAAAUCCAUUGCCCAUGCCCUCACUGUCAUUAACCAGACCUAAAAGGAAAACCUCAGAAAAUUCUACAAGAGCAAAAAGUGAAAGCCCCUGGACCUACGACCCAAGAAGAUUAGAGCCAUGUGUGGACAACGCACCAAGCACAAAGAGAAGCUGAAGAUCAGUAAGUAGCAGAAGGAGCAGCUGUACCCACUUCAUAAGUAUGCAGUCAAGGCC
This 360-nucleotide long non-coding RNA is filed under the name Mus musculus (house mouse). RNAcentral describes it as "long non-coding RNA chrX:142060854-142061214". The record is from RNAcentral. Lineage: Eukaryota; Metazoa; Chordata; Mammalia; Rodentia; Muridae.